RNAcentral lists this small RNA (890 nucleotides) under Nothophoma macrospora. RNAcentral's name for it is "eukaryotic LSU rRNA". It matches the Rfam family "Eukaryotic large subunit ribosomal RNA", at positions 50 to 958 of the family's 3401-position model. Lineage: Eukaryota; Fungi; Ascomycota; Dothideomycetes; Pleosporales; Didymellaceae. The record is from RNAcentral.
GCGGAGGAAAAGAAACCAACAGGGAUUGCCCUAGUAACGGCGAGUGAAGCGGCAACAGCUCAAAUUUGAAAUCUGGCGUCUUCGGCGUCCGAGUUGUAAUUUGCAGAGGGCGCUUUGGCAUUGGCAGCGGUCCAAGUUCCUUGGAACAGGACGUCACAGAGGGUGAGAAUCCCGUACGUGGUCGCUAGCCUUUACCGUGUAAAGCCCCUUCGACGAGUCGAGUUGUUUGGGAAUGCAGCUCUAAAUGGGAGGUAAAUUUCUUCUAAAGCUAAAUACUGGCCAGAGACCGAUAGCGCACAAGUAGAGUGAUCGAAAGAUGAAAAGCACUUUGGAAAGAGAGUUAAAAAGCACGUGAAAUUGUUGAAAGGGAAGCGCUUGCAGCCAGACUUGCCUGUAGUUGCUCAUCCGGGUUUCUACCCGGUGCACUCUUCUAUAGGCAGGCCAGCAUCAGUUUGGGCGGUUGGAUAAAGGUCUCUGUCAUGUACCUCUCUUCGGGGAGAACUUAUAGGGGAGACGACAUGCAACCAGCCUGGACUGAGGUCCGCGCAUCUGCUAGGAUGCUGGCGUAAUGGCUGUAAGCGGCCCGUCUUGAAACACGGACCAAGGAGUCUAACAUCUAUGCGAGUGUUUGGGUGUCAAGCCCGAGCGCGUAAUGAAAGUGAACGGAGGUGGGAACCUUUCGGGGUGCACCAUCGACCGAUCCUGAUGUCUUCGGAUGGAUUUGAGUAAGAGCAUAGCUGUUGGGACCCGAAAGAUGGUGAACUAUGCUUGAAUAGGGUGAAGCCAGAGGAAACUCUGGUGGAGGCUCGCAGCGGUUCUGACGUGCAAAUCGAUCGUCAAAUUUGGGCAUAGGGGCGAAAGACUAAUCGAACUAUCUAGUAGCUGGUCCU